GCCCCCGUAUCCCAACUGGCCAGAGGACGGGAACUUAAAAUUCUCGACAGUGUGGGUUCGACUCCCACCGGGGGCA
This 76-nucleotide transfer RNA is filed under the name Actinomycetes bacterium. RNAcentral describes it as "Actinobacteria bacterium tRNA-OTHER". It matches the Rfam family "tRNA". Rfam says of the family: Transfer RNA (tRNA) molecules are approximately 80 nucleotides in length. Their secondary structure includes four short double-helical elements and three loops (D, anti-codon, and T loops). The record is from RNAcentral. RNAcentral also lists the same sequence under 1 other name. Lineage: Bacteria; Bacillati; Actinomycetota; Actinomycetes.